AAAAUCUCUAAUUUGGCAUUGAAAUUAGAAAGAUCAUGUCAAAGGGAACAUGUUUAUUAAGUUUCAAGUUGAUUGGAUUUCAACUUCAUCAAAAACUACCUCAACCAAAAACUUUAACCUGAAGUAGGACAGAUGGAUGGAUGAAUGGACAGAUGGAUGAAUGGACGAAUGGAUGAAUGGACGAACAAACAGACGAAUGAACAGACA
Molecule: long non-coding RNA, 207 nt
Filed under: Mytilus galloprovincialis (Mediterranean mussel)
Lineage: Eukaryota; Metazoa; Mollusca; Bivalvia; Mytilida; Mytilidae
Source: RNAcentral